GACGAACGCUGGCGGCGUGCUUAACACAUGCAAGUCGAACGGAAAGGCCCUGCUUUUGUGGGGUGCUCGAGUGGCGAACGGGUGAGUAACACGUGAGUAACCUGCCCUUGACUUUGGGAUAACUUCAGGAAACUGGGGCUAAUACCGGAUAGGAGCUCCUGCUGCAUGGUGGGGGUUGGAAAGUUUCGGCGGUUGGGGAUGGACUCGCGGCUUAUCAGCUUGUUGGUGGGGUAGUGGCUUACCAAGGCUUUGACGGGUAGCCGGCCUGAGAGGGUGAACGGCCACAUUGGGACUGAGAUACGGCACAGACUCCUACGGGAGGCAGCAGUGGGGAAUAUUGCACAAUGGGCGGAAGCCUGAUGCAGCAACGCCGCGUGCGGGAUGACGGCCUUCGGGUUGUAAACCGCUUUCGCCUGUGACGAAGCGUGAGUGACGGUAAUGGGUAAAGAAGCACCGGCUAACUACGU
RNAcentral lists this ribosomal RNA (467 nucleotides) under uncultured bacterium. RNAcentral's name for it is "partial 16S ribosomal RNA". It matches the Rfam family "Bacterial small subunit ribosomal RNA", at positions 28 to 506 of the family's 1533-position model. The record is from RNAcentral.